UGCAGAGGGUGCGAGCGUUGUCCGGAAUCACUGGGCGUAAAGGGCGCGUAGGCGGCUCUGCACGUCCGUUGUGAAAUCGCCCGGCUCAACUGGGCGGGGUCAGCGGAUACGGCGGAGCUUGAGCAAGCUAGGGGGCAAUGGAAUUCCCGGUGUAGUGGUGGAAUGCGUAGAUAUCGGGAGGAACACCAGUGGCGAAGGCGGUUGCCUGGGGCUUUGCUGACGCUGAUGCGCGAAAGCGUGGGGAGCGAUCCGG
RNAcentral lists this ribosomal RNA (253 nucleotides) under uncultured bacterium. RNAcentral describes it as "partial 16S ribosomal RNA". It matches the Rfam family "Bacterial small subunit ribosomal RNA", at positions 524 to 776 of the family's 1533-position model. The record is from RNAcentral.